This 501-nucleotide ribosomal RNA is filed under the name uncultured bacterium. RNAcentral describes it as "partial 16S ribosomal RNA". It matches the Rfam family "Bacterial small subunit ribosomal RNA", at positions 30 to 523 of the family's 1533-position model. The record is from RNAcentral.
AUUGAACGCUGGCGGCAUGCCUUACACAUGCAAGUCGAACGGCAGCACGGGUGCUUGCACCUGGUGGCGAGUGGCGAACGGGUGAGUAAUACAUCGGAACGUACCUUAUCAUGGGGGAUAACGCAGCGAAAGCUGUGCUAAUACCGCAUACGCCCUGAGGGGGAAAGCGGGGGAUCGAAAGACCUCGCGCGAUUAGAGCGGCCGAUGCCUGAUUAGCUUGUUGGUGGGGUAAAAGCCCACCAAGGCGACGAUCAGUAGCUGGUCUGAGAGGACGAUCAGCCACACUGGGACUGAGACACGGCCCAGACUCCUACGAGAGGCAGCAGUGGGGAAUUUUGGACAAUGGGGGCAACCCUGAUCCAGCAAUGCCGCGUGAGUGAAGAAGGCCUUCGGGUUGUAAAGCUCUUUUGUCAGGGAAGAAACACCGGCUCUAACACAGUCCGGGAAUGACGGUACCUGAAGAAUAAGCACCGGCUAACUACGUGCCAGCCGCCGCAGUAA